RNAcentral lists this long non-coding RNA (436 nucleotides) under Hordeum vulgare. RNAcentral describes it as "long non-coding RNA (HVUL_LNC018936)". Lineage: Eukaryota; Viridiplantae; Streptophyta; Magnoliopsida; Poales; Poaceae. The record is from RNAcentral.
CCACGAGGAGCUGCGGUACCCGGAUGUCGAUGCAGAGUAGAGACAUGCCAGAGCCAGGAACCCUAGGAGUACUGUUGACCUCUUCGCAAGUGUCAGCCGCCUCGGACACGAACACGAUGACAUUAGAACCCAGGUCCUUUUGUUGAGAUACGCGUUCAGGAAAACCCACAAGUUCUUGUUUUCUUGCUAGCUGAACUUGGUUUGUUCUCAACAUGGUGAGGUUAAUGUGCCCGGACAUGAGCUGCUGCAUUUUGAUGCGCCCGUGGUAUAUUUGAUUCAUCCUAUGGUAAAAUUCUUGAUUGGUAAAAGUAUCCUACAAUGCUGUGGGAACACUAGUUUCUGCACAUUACAUAGUUCUUUUACCUGUACAUGACAACUUCAGACAUUUUGCUUCUCUGCCUCUCUUGUCUCAGUAUGGACCGAUACUGAGUAAGCG